This is a long non-coding RNA of Scylla paramamosain (green mud crab), 1201 nucleotides long. RefSeq lists it as uncharacterized. NCBI's taxonomy places the organism in Eukaryota, Metazoa, Arthropoda, Malacostraca, Decapoda, Portunidae. The transcript has 3 exons. The record is from RefSeq and is a predicted model, not a curated record.
GCAGUAGCAGUCACGUGGGUGGUGGAGUGCCGGCGGGUUGUAGGGAUAUAAGUGAAGCAGGAGGCAUCAGAUCAACCCUCCAGAAAGCGGUGUGUCUCUUGUGCUGUGUCUCUUGUUUAUGAAUGACCCAUGUGCGGCGGCAGGAACCAGUGUGUAAUUAAGGUGAUCUAUGAAGAAAUCCUCCCCGAGAAAACUAUGAAGGACGUGGAAUGAUAAAGGAAGGAUAUGGAAGGCAGGACAUAGCAAGACAAGGCAUGGCAAGGCAGGACGGGGCGGGGCAAGACCUGCAUCGCCUCUUUAAUCACUGCCACAACUGAGGUGCCGCGCCGCCUCCUCCGCGGUGGGUCGCUGCAGAUCUCACCCUUUGAUUAAGAACCAAUUUAGCCGUGUAAUUAGACGAAGUGAGCGGUUAGCUAUUGAGAGGGUCAUUAGCUGCCUACUGGACGUAUUGUUCGAUCUUUACUCGGUGGGUAGUUUCGGUUGUCAGUAACAUAUUUAGUUAACUCGUUUGUAUGCGAAGGUGGUAGGUGAGUCAGUUUGGUAAGUCGGUUUGGUAAUCCUCCUGAGUGUUUCUCCUUGGGCUUAAUGCAGUGUUGUGGUGCAUGUGCAGAGUAUUGUUUCUAGAGACGCCACUGACACUAAAAGGCGUGAGUGAUGGAGUUAUUUAAGUCUGUUAGUGCUGAAAGUUUUAUUUGUUAGUUGAGUGAGAUCGUCUUGGGCUACUGAAGUGAAGCAACAGUCUCUGCCUGCUUUUAUUUUUUUUCUUUUCUCCCUCCUUUCUUCUUUCUUUCCUUCAUUCCUUCUUUCCUUCCUUCCUUCUUUCCUUUCUUCCUUUCUUCCUUCCUUCUUUCCUUCAUUUCUUCUUUCAAAUUUUUCUUUCCGCAGUUAUGCUUAAGAUCUCUCCUAUACACACUCUUUGUUCCUCAUUUUUCUCUCUUUCCUUCUCCCCUUGCUUCCUUCCUUCCCUUUUUCCCUCUACAGUUAUGCUAAACCCUACACACACCUUUUUUUCUUCCUUCUUUCCUUUACUUUUAUCCUUCUUUCCUCUUUAGAAUUUUCUCUCCAGUCCUCUGAAGACAACCUUCAAAGAUUACUCCUUAUGUCUCUGUGUAUACUUUCCCUCUCCUGCUCUCAUUCCAGAGACAGUCUCGCUAGGACCUACAUGUCUGCUUCUGUUUUCUUACUGCCAAAAUAUAUUUGU